UACAGAGGUCUCAAGCGUUGUUCGGAUUCAUUGGGCGUAAAGGGUGCGUAGGCGGCGCGGUAAGUCAGGUGUGAAAUCUCGGGGCUUAACUCCGAAACUGCAUUUGAUACUGCGGUGCUUGAGGACUGGAGAGGAGACUGGAAUUUACGGUGUAGCAGUGAAAUGCGUAGAGAUCGUAAGGAAGACCAGUGGCGAAGGCGGGUCUCUGGACAGUUCCUGACACUGAGGCACGAAGGCCAGGGGAGCAAACGGG
Molecule: ribosomal RNA, 253 nt
Filed under: uncultured bacterium
Lineage: Bacteria
Description: partial 16S ribosomal RNA
Rfam family: Bacterial small subunit ribosomal RNA
Source: RNAcentral